CACGUAGGGGGCAAGCGUUGUCCGGAUUUAUUGGGCGUAAAGAGCUCGUAGGCGGCUUGGUAAGUCAGGUGUGAAACCCCCGGGCUCAACCCGGGGACGCCACCUGAUACUGCUAUGGCUUGAGUCCGGUAGGGGAGCGUGGAAUUCCUGGUGUAGCGGUGAAAUGCGCAGAUAUCAGGAGGAACACCCGUGGCGAAGGCGGUUCUCUGGGACGGUACUGACGCUGAGACGCGAAAGCGUGGGGAGCGAACAGG
RNAcentral lists this ribosomal RNA (254 nucleotides) under uncultured bacterium. Its description in RNAcentral is "partial 16S ribosomal RNA". It matches the Rfam family "Bacterial small subunit ribosomal RNA", at positions 524 to 776 of the family's 1533-position model. The record is from RNAcentral.